GUGGGGAAUAUUGGACAAUGGGGGGAACCCUGAUCCAGCCAUGCCGCGUGUGUGAAGAAGGCCUUUUGGUUGUAAAGCACUUUAAGCGAGGAGGAGGCUACCGAGAUUAAUACUCUUGGAUAGUGGACGUUACUCGCAGAAUAAGCACCGGCUAACUCUGGUCCAGCAUCCGCGGUAAUACAGAGGGUGCAAGCGUUAAUCGGAUUUACUGGUCGUAAAGCGCGCGUAGGUGGCCAAUUAAGUCAAAUGUGAAAUCCCCGAGCUUAACUUGUGAAUUGCAUUCGAUACUGGUUGGCUAGAGUAUGGGAGAGGAUGGUAGAAUUCCAGGUGUAGCGGUGAAAUGCGUAGAGAUCUGGAGGAAUACCGAUGGCGAAGGCAGCCAUCUGGCCUAAUACUGACACUGAGGUGCGAAAGCGUGGGGAGCAAACAGGAUUAGAUACCCGUGUAGUCC
This 451-nucleotide ribosomal RNA is filed under the name uncultured bacterium. RNAcentral describes it as "partial 16S ribosomal RNA". It matches the Rfam family "Bacterial small subunit ribosomal RNA", at positions 354 to 796 of the family's 1533-position model. The record is from RNAcentral.